UCUGUUUCAUUUAAAAUUUAGUUAGAAUUUUAUUUUUUAGUUAAAAAGCUAAAAUAUAUUCAAAAGACGAGAAGACCCUAUAAAUCUUGAUUAUUUAGUAAUUUUUAGUUUAUUUUGAUUUUUUUUAUUAUAAAUUUAUUAAUUAAUUUUAUUGGGGUGAUAUUAAAAUUUAAAUAACUUUUAAUAAUUUUUAUCAUUUAUUUAUGAUUAAGUGAUCCAUUAUUAGUGAUUAGAAAAUUAAGUUACUUUAGGGAUAACAGCGUAAUUUUUUUGGAGAGUUCUUAUCGAUAAAAAAGUUUGCGACCUCGAUGUUGGAUUAAGAUUCAUAUUUAAAUGUAGAAGUUUAAAUAUAAAGUCUGUUCGACUUUUUAUUCUUACAUGAUCUGAGUUCAAACCGGUGUAAGCCAGGUUGGUUUCUAUCUUUGAUUUGGUAAAAUAUUUUAGUACGAAAGGAAUUAAUAUUUAUUUUAAAAAAAUU
RNAcentral lists this ribosomal RNA (478 nucleotides) under Teleopsis dalmanni. Its description in RNAcentral is "partial 16S ribosomal RNA". The stretch from base 253 to 411 matches the Rfam family "Bacterial large subunit ribosomal RNA", at positions 2473 to 2632 of the family's 2925-position model. Lineage: Eukaryota; Metazoa; Arthropoda; Insecta; Diptera; Diopsidae. The record is from RNAcentral.